GACGAACGCUGGCGGCGUGCUUAACACAUGCAAGUCGAACGGGAGUAUUGAAGAAGCUUGCUUUAGAGAUACUUUAGUGGCGGACGGGUGAGUAACGCGUGAGGAGCUGUCCAAUGCAGGGGGACAACAGUUGGAAACGACUGCUAAUACCCCAUAAGCCGAGAGGUAAAAGGAUUUAUCCGGCAAUGGAGGUACUCGCGUCCUAUCAGCUAGUAGGUGAGGUAACGGCUCACCUAGGCGAAGACGGGUAGCCGGCCUGAGAGGGCGAACGGCCACACGGGAACUGAGAUACGGUCCAGACUCCUACGGGAGGCAGCAGUGGGGAAUAUUGGGCAAUGGGGGGAACCCUGACCCAGCGACGCCGCGUGGGUGAAGAAAUCCUUCGGGAUGUAAACUUCUUUUGUACGUGAAGAAGCAGAUGACGGUAGCGUACGAAUAAGUCCCGGCUAACUACGUGCCAGCCGCCGCCGUAA
Molecule: ribosomal RNA, 473 nt
Filed under: uncultured bacterium
Lineage: Bacteria
Description: partial 16S ribosomal RNA
Rfam family: Bacterial small subunit ribosomal RNA
Source: RNAcentral